Molecule: unclassified non-coding RNA, 355 nt
Filed under: soil metagenome
Description: partial contains 5.8S ribosomal RNA, internal transcribed spacer 2, and large subunit ribosomal RNA
Rfam family: 5.8S ribosomal RNA (bases 1-120)
Source: RNAcentral
GAUGAAGAACGUAGCGAAAUGCGAUAAGUAAUGUGAAUUGCAGAAUUCAGUGAAUCAUCGAAUCUUUGAACGCACAUUGCGCCCAUUAGUAUUCUAGUGGGCAUGCCUGUUCGAGCGUCAUUAAGUCCACUUAAGCCCUGCUUAGUGUUGGGAGACUGCUCCAGCGGUGCUACCCUGUAGCUACCCUGCAGCUCCUCAAAGACAGCGGCGGAGUUGUGGUAUCCUCUGAGCUUAGUAACUUGUUUUAGCUUUCGAGUACACCACUUCCCCUGCCGUAAAACCCUUAAUUUUUAAUGGUUGACCUCGGAUCAGGUAGGAAUACCCGCUGAACUUAAGCAUAUCAAUAAGCGGAGGA